Molecule: ribosomal RNA, 1000 nt
Filed under: uncultured bacterium
Lineage: Bacteria
Description: bacterial SSU rRNA
Rfam family: Bacterial small subunit ribosomal RNA
Source: RNAcentral
AUACAUGCAAGUCGAACGAUACCGGGGAGCUUGCUUUCCGGGAAAGUGGCGCACGGGUGCGUAACGCGUAUGCAACCUACCUUUAUCAGGGGGAUAGCCUCUCGAAAGAGAGAUUAACACCGCAUAAAAUCACAAGCUGGCAUCAGCAAAUGAUCAAAUAUUUAUAGGAUAAAGAUGGGCAUGCGUGACAUUAGCUAGUUGGUAAGGUAACGGCUUACCAAGGCUACGAUGUCUAGGGGAUCUGAGAGGAUGACCCCCCACACUGGUACUGAGACACGGACCAGACUCCUACGGGAGGCAGCAGUAAGGAAUAUUGGUCAAUGGGGGCAACCCUGAACCAGCCAUGCCGCGCGCAGGAAGACGGCCCUAUGGGUUGUAAACUGCUUUUAUACCGGAAUAAACCCCCGAUCGUGAUCGGGGCUGAAUGUACGGUAAGAAUAAGGAUCGGCUAACUCCGUGCCAGCAGCCGCGGUAAUACGGAGGAUCCAAGCGUUAUCCGGAUUUAUUGGGUUUAAAGGGUGCGUAGGCGGCCUGUUAAGUCAGGGGUGAAAGACGGUGGCUCAACCAUCGCAGUGCCUUUGAUACUGACGGGCUUGAAUACACUUGAGGUAGGCGGAAUGUGACAAGUAGCGGUGAAAUGCAUAGAUAUGUCACAGAACACCGAUUGCGAAGGCAGCUUACUAAGGUGCAAUUGACGCUGAGGCACGAAAGCGUGGGGAUCAAACAGGAUUAGAUACCCUGGUAGUCCACGCCCUAAACGAUGAAUACUCGAUGUUAGCGAUAUACUGUUAGCGUCUAAGCGAAAGCGUUAAGUAUUCCACCUGGGGAGUACGCCCGCAAGGGUGAAACUCAAAGGAAUUGACGGGGGCCCGCACAAGCGGAGGAGCAUGUGGUUUAAUUCGAUGAUACGCGAGGAACCUUACCCGGGCUUGAAAGUUACUGAAGUAUCCAGAGAUGGAUGCGUCCGCAAGGACAGGAAACUAGGUGCUGCAUGGCUGUC